UGCGAAUGGCUCAUUAUAUAAGUUAUCGUUUAUUUGAUAGUAUCUUGCUACUUGGAUAACCGUGGUAAUUCUAGAGCUAAUACAUGCUAAAAAUCCCGACUUCGGAAGGGAUGUAUUUAUUAGAUUAAAAACCAAUGCCCUCUGGGCUCUCUUGGUGAAUCAUGAUAACUUCUCGAAUCGCAGGGCCUUGCGCCGGCGAUGGUUCAUUCAAAUUUCUUCCCUAUCAACUUUCGAUGUUUGGGUAGUGGCCAAACAUGGUUGCAACGGGUAACGGAGGGUUAGGGCUCGACCCCGGAGAAGGAGCCUGAGAAACGGCUACUACAUCCAAGGAAGGCAGCAGGCGCGCAAAUUACCCAAUCCCGAUCCGGGGAGGUAGUGACAAUAAAUACUGAUACAGGGCUCUUUUGGGUCUUGUAAUUGGAAUGAGUACAAUUUAAAUCCCUUAACGAGGAACAAUUGGAGGGCAAGUCUGGUGCCAGCAGCCGCGGUAAUUCCAGCUCCAAUAGCGUAUAUUAAAGUUGUUGUGGUUAAAAAGCUCGUAGUUGAACCUUGGGCCUGGCUGGCCGGUCCGCCUCACCGCGUGCACUGGUCCGGCCGGGCCUUUCCCUCUGUGGAACCCCAUGCCCUUCACUGGGUGUGGCGGGGAAACAGGACUUUUACUUUGAAAAAAUUAGAGUGCUCCAGGCAGGCCUAUGCUCGAAUACAUUAGCAUGGAAUAAUGAAAUAGGACGUGCGGUUCUAUUUUGUUGGUUUCUAGGACCGCCGUAAUGAUUAAUAGGGACAGUCGGGGGCAUCAGUAUUCAAUUGUCAGAGGUGAAAUUCUUGGAUUUAUUGAAGACUAACUACUGCGAAAGCAUUUGCCAAGGAUGUUUUCAUUAAUCAGGAACGAAAGUUAGGGGAUCGAAGACGAUCAGAUACCGUCGUAGUCUUAACCAUAAACUAUGCCGACUAGGGAUCGGACGAUGUUAUUUUUUGACUCGUUCGGCACCUUACGAGAAAUCAAAGUGCUUGGGCUCCAGGGGGAGUAUGGUCGCAAGGCUGAAACUUAAAGAAAUUGACGGAAGGGCACCACCAGGGGUAAACCUGACCUGUGAAGCCGCAGUCAACUCUGCUCCAGAAAGCCGCCCGAAAGGGUCGGUGGUGUUCCUAGGGGAGAGCUCUCCCCUAAACUAAUGGCUAGUCCUGCCGCCCGCGGCAGGGCGACACCCUCAAACUGACGGGGAACUCCUAAAGCCCUCGCUCCGGACAGGCGUCGGGAAACCGACGGCCUGCUCACCAGGCUAACGACCUCGGGUAUCGGAAGCAACGCGAGAGGAUGCUACAAUGGACAAUCCGCAGCCAAGCCCCUACGGUGCGGCCUCUACGGGGGUCGCAUACGGGGAAGGUUCAGAGACUUGACGGGGGUGGGUGGCGCGGGCUCUUGGGGUGCAAGCCGCGUGCUUGCUUGCAGGCCCAGGCGCCCGCCGCUGCCUAAGAUAAAGUCCGGGCGUGCGCGAAAGCGUGCGCGGCAACCACGCAACCCGCCGUUUCCAGCGGGUGCGAGGCCCCAGAAGUAAAAACAACCGGGAGCCUGCGGCUUAAUUUGACUCAACACGGGGAAACUCACCAGGUCCAGACACAAUGAGGAUUGACAGAUUGAGAGCUCUUUCUUGAUUUUGUGGGUGGUGGUGCAUGGCCGUUCUUAGUUGGUGGAGUGAUUUGUCUGCUUAAUUGCGAUAACGAACGAGACCUUAACCUGCUAAAUAGCCCGUAUUGCUUUGGCAGUACGCCGGCUCUUAG
This 1779-nucleotide ribosomal RNA is filed under the name Ustilaginoidea virens. RNAcentral's name for it is "bacterial SSU rRNA". It matches the Rfam family "Eukaryotic small subunit ribosomal RNA", at positions 88 to 1414 of the family's 1831-position model. Lineage: Eukaryota; Fungi; Ascomycota; Sordariomycetes; Hypocreales; Clavicipitaceae. The record is from RNAcentral.